UGGUGGCGACCGGCGCACGGGUGAGUAACGCGUAUGCAACCCAUCUAUCAGAGGGGGAUAACCCGGCGAAAGUCGGACUAAUACCGCAUAAAACAGGGGCACCGCAUGGUGAUAUUUGUUAAAAAUUUAUUGCUGAUAGAUGGGCAUGCGUUCCAUUAGGUAGUUGGAGAGGUAACGGCUCACCAAGCCUACGAUGGAUAGGGGAACUGAGAGGUUGGUCCCCCACACUGGUACUGAGACACGGACCAGACUCCUACGGGAGGCAGCAGUGAGGAAUAUUGGUCAAUGGGCGAGAGCCUGAACCAGCCAAGUCGCGUGAAGGAAGAAGGAUCUAUGGUUCGUAAACUUCUUUUGCAGGGGAAUAAAGUGCAGGACGUGUCCUGUUUUGUAUGUACCCUGAGAAUAAGGAUCGGCUAACUCCGUGCCAGCAGCCGCGGUAAUACGGAGGAUCCGAGCGUUAUCCGGAUUUAUUGGGUUUAAAGGGUGCGUAGGUGGUUUAAUAAGUCAGCGGUGAAAGUUUGCAGCUUAACUGUAAAAAUGCCGUUGAAACUGUUAGACUUGAGUGUAAAUGAGGUAGGCGGAAUGCGUGGUGUAGCGGUGAAAUGCUUAGAUAUCACGAAGAACUCCGAUUG
Molecule: ribosomal RNA, 632 nt
Filed under: uncultured Porphyromonadaceae bacterium
Lineage: Bacteria; Pseudomonadati; Bacteroidota; Bacteroidia; Bacteroidales; Porphyromonadaceae
Description: bacterial SSU rRNA
Rfam family: Bacterial small subunit ribosomal RNA
Source: RNAcentral